GUCGAAAAGCAUCUUCUGUGGCUCAGAUAGUAACUACUUUACAGGAAAGCGAGGCAAUGGAAUACACUAUUGUCGUAGCCGAAAUGGUUGAUUCCCCUGCUACAUUACAAAUACCUUGCUCCUUAUACAGGAGCAGCUUUGGUUGAAUAUUUUAUGCACCGUAAACAACGCACUUCAAUCAUUUAUGAUGAUCUCUCCAAACAAGCCCAAGAUUAUCGCCAAAUGUCUCUUCUAUUACGAAGACUGCCUGAUCAUGAAGCUUACCUAGGG
This 270-nucleotide long non-coding RNA is filed under the name Olea europaea subsp. europaea. Lineage: Eukaryota; Viridiplantae; Streptophyta; Magnoliopsida; Lamiales; Oleaceae. The record is from RNAcentral.